GCAAUUAUCCACCUGCAACUCCAAUGAAUUCAUGACAAACACAUAACAAUAUUAAUCUUUAUUAGUUGUUCCUCAUGAUAUGACCCAAUUUAGAUGAAAACCAUAAUUAUCAAAAUAAUAUGACCCAAAUUAGAUGAAACUCAUAUUGAUUUCAGCAUCAAUUUCCAAAAUAUAUUAACCUAAAGUCAAAUCUGCCUAACCUCAUGGGUUCACAUAAAGGGAACAGGAGGAGUUUUUUGUGGAGAGAAAUUUGUAGCAAAAUGGGUACUGGUUCAUCGAAGAAUCCAGAUAGUAUUUCACAUGGAAGCAGCGAAGAUAGAGAAGAUCACGGAGGAGGACAGCUUUACGUUUCUCUCAAAAUGGAAAAAUAUAAACCUAAAGGCGAACUUAUUCCUCAUGUUUAUGGUUCAGUUCCGCUUAUUGGUUCAUGGGAUUCUUCUAAAGCUCUUCCGAUGGAGCGCGAAUCAACUUCUAUGUGGGAACUGAGUUUCGUUGUUCCUCCUAAUCACGAGACAUUGGACUUUAAGUUCCUCUUGAAGCCAAAAUACAACAACCCUGAGCCGUGUAUAGUGGAGGAGGGCCCAAACCGUGUACUAAUUGCUGGAACGUUACAAGGGGAUGGGCGUUCAGCCUUGUUUAAGCGGGAUAAUGAUGAGAUUAUCGAAUAUAGAGUAUUUGUUAAAGCAGACAGAGUUUCGCCAUUUAAUCUUGCGGCUAGUUGGAGAGCCUUUCAGGAAAAUCGCAGGCUUUCCACUGUUCGGGGGGUACCAGAUAUUAGCAUAAAUUCGACACCAGCGAUGGGUGCAGAGCAUGGCUCUUCAGCAAGUCUAGAGCUUGAUCUUGAACAUUAUGUUGUGCCCGCUCCAACACAAUCUGCAACAGUUUACGCAGCUAACUUGACAGAAACUCCUAGGUCACUAAAACUUUCAGGUGUAUUUUCUGGGACAGAUGGCACUACCAUUCCAAGACCUUCCUCAAAAGAUGGUCACACUUCAAAUGAUCGGUCUGCUACAAUAAAGCAAAUGGAAGUAAUUGUCCCGGAUCCAACUAGAGUGCCCUCAGGGUCUGGCACGGUUGAAUCCAAGUCCAUGGGAACGUUCUCAUCUUUGCAAAAGCAAGAUAGUUACAGGGGACUCCUUGUAGAUAGGGGUGUGGGAUCUCCAAGACUACUCAAAUCACCCAGUACAACCAGUUUUACUCUUGAUCUCAAGCCUGAUUCAGAUGCCAAGAAUAUGAUGCCAGCUGCUGCAGGAGCGGUUGCAGCUGGAGCUGUAGCUGAUCAGAUGCUUGGGCCAAAGGAAGACAGGCAUCUAGCAAUUGUUCUGGUUGGCUUGCCAGCUCGUGGUAAAACUUUUACUGCCGCUAAGCUUACUAGGUAUCUUCGAUGGCUAGGUCAUGACACCAAGCACUUCAAUGUUGGGAAGUACCGCCGGCUCAAGCACGGAAGUAAUCAGACUGCUGAUUUCUUCCGAGCUGACAAUCCGGAAGGCUUGGAGGCUCGCAAUGAGGUAGCAGCCCUUGCAAUGGAAGACAUGAUCGCGUGGAUGCAAGAGGGUGGUCAGGUAGGAAUUUUUGAUGCCACAAAUAGCUCAAGGAAAAGAAGGAAUAUGCUUAUGAAAAUGGCUGAGGGAAAAUGCAAGAUAAUUUUCUUAGAAACAAUCUGUAAUGAUCCUAAACUAAUUGAAAGAAACAUACGCCUGAAAGUUCAACAAAGCCCAGACUAUGCUGAAGAGCCAGAUUUUGAAGCUGGAUACAGGGACUUCAAGAAUCGCCUUGAUAAUUAUGAAAAAGUUUAUGAGCCAGUGGAGGAAGGUUCUUAUAUCAAAAUGAUUGAUAUGGUCAGUGGUCAUGGAGGACAAAUACAAGUGAAUAAUAUCAGUGGCUAUCUUCCUGGGAGGAUUGUCUUCUUCUUGGUCAAUACACAUCUCACACCCCGUCCAAUUUUUCUAACAAGGCAUGGAGAAAGUCUAUACAAUGUUAGAGGCAGAAUUGGUGGUGACACUGCCAUAAGUGAAACUGGGGAGGUCUAUGCGAAGAAGCUUGCCAAUUUUGUUGAAAAACGACUGAAGAAAGAAAAGGCAGCUUCUAUAUGGACCAGUACAUUGCAAAGAACAAUUUUGACAGCUGGUCCAAUUGCUGGGUUUCCCAAGAUACAAUGGCGAGCCCUUGAUGAAAUAAAUUCUGGCAUAUGUGAUGGGAUGACAUAUGAAGAAAUAAAGAAAAAUAUGCCCGAAGAAUAUGAGUCACGCAAAAAGGACAAGCUGAGGUAUAGAUACCCUAGAGGCGAAUCUUACCUUGAUGUCAUACAAAGGUUGGAACCAGUGAUUAUCGAGCUUGAAAGACAGCGAGCACCGGUAGUGGUGGUAUCCCACCAGACACAUUUUGGAACCCGACGGGGCUCCCUCAACGUCUCGUGACAAGGCCAAUGUGGGGGCAUCUUUGGGAGGUCAAAAUACAAGCUCGGGUCAACAUUUAUGGGGCUUUGAAGCCUUGACCAGCUGGGCAGUGGCUGCUCUACAAAAACAGCAUACUAGACAAAGGCUUUUCUACUAGUUCAUGGCUUGCAUGCCCAAAUGGGGCAGUACUGAGGGCGUUGUAUGCUUAUUUUGCUGAUAGGCCUUUGAAUGAAAUUCCACACAUAGAGAUGCCACUUCAUACAAUUAUAGAGAUACAAAUGGGGGUUACAGGAGUACAGGAGAAGAGAUACAAACUGAUGUAGGUCAUUGCAACUUGACUUGCUAAUUUGUAAAUGCAGCAAUUCUCUCAUUCUUCAAAUUGUAUCAACUGAUAUACCAAAAAUAUUGUAUAUUGACGAGAGUUUUGACAUUAAAGUGUAUCAUUUUAAAGGGAAUAAUCAUCUUCUUACUGCCCUCUCCAA
Capsicum annuum is the source of this 2878-nucleotide RNA transcript. It is a transcript of the gene named 6-phosphofructo-2-kinase/fructose-2,6-bisphosphatase, with no coding region annotated. The record is from RefSeq and is a predicted model, not a curated record. The transcript is spliced from 25 exons. Lineage: Eukaryota; Viridiplantae; Streptophyta; Magnoliopsida; Solanales; Solanaceae.